This 301-nucleotide ribosomal RNA is filed under the name uncultured bacterium. RNAcentral's name for it is "partial 16S ribosomal RNA". It matches the Rfam family "Bacterial small subunit ribosomal RNA", at positions 509 to 807 of the family's 1533-position model. The record is from RNAcentral.
CAGCAGCCGCGGGAAAACGGAGGGGGCUAGCGUUGUUCGGAAUUACUGGGCGUAAAGCGCACGUAGGCGGCUUGGUAAGUUAGAGGUGAAAGCCUGGAGCUCAACUCCAGAAUUGCCUUUAAGACUGCCGAGCUAGCAGGUGAGAGAGGUAAGUGGAAUUCCGAGUGUAGAGGUGAAAUUCGUAGAUAUUCGGAAGAACACCAGUGGCGAAGGCGGCUUACUGGCUCAUACUGGACGCUGAGGUGCGAAAGCGUGGGGAGCAAACAGGAUUAGAUACCCCCGUAGUCCCUGUCUCUUAUAC